AUCUUGGAAAUUCAUCUGUCUUCAGGAAGAUGGGGAAAGGCUCUAUGUCUUCCCUCACAGAAUGCUUCAUCAGCUCCAAGCUUCUCAUGACACCUGCUUCAAUUUGUGAGAAAACUGCUAUCAACAUGGACAUGAAAGAUCACUUCCAUUUCUACUGGACAUCUCACAUUACUUACUAGCCCUUUAGAGGCGAGUUAAGGACAAUUUUAGUGUCCUGCUUCUCUGAAGGAAACAUGUGCCUGGGUAUAUUAUCAGAGCAUUGUAAAGGAAGAGCAUUUCUCUGCGAACUCAUGGAAAAACAGUGGGGUUUUUUUUCUUGGCCAGAUUCCCCAAAGAGAAUUGAAU
Molecule: long non-coding RNA, 345 nt
Organism: Cyanistes caeruleus (blue tit)
Lineage: Eukaryota; Metazoa; Chordata; Aves; Passeriformes; Paridae
Source: RefSeq, a predicted model, not a curated record